UACGUAGGGGGCAAGCGUUAUCCGGAUUUAUUGGGCGUAAAGGGUGCGUAGGCGGCGCGGUAAGUCGGGUGUGAAAUCUCGGGGCUUAACUCCGAGACUGCAUUCGAUACUGCCGUGCUUGAGGACUGGAGAGGAGACUGGAAUUUACGGUGUAGCGGUGAAAUGCGUAGAUAUCGUAAGGAAGACCAGUGGCGAAGGCGGGUCUCUGGACAGUUCCUGACGCUGAGGCACGAAGGCCAGGGGAGCAAACGGG
RNAcentral lists this ribosomal RNA (253 nucleotides) under uncultured bacterium. RNAcentral describes it as "partial 16S ribosomal RNA". It matches the Rfam family "Bacterial small subunit ribosomal RNA", at positions 524 to 776 of the family's 1533-position model. The record is from RNAcentral.